RNAcentral lists this ribosomal RNA (765 nucleotides) under uncultured Streptococcus sp. RNAcentral describes it as "bacterial SSU rRNA". It matches the Rfam family "Bacterial small subunit ribosomal RNA", at positions 28 to 776 of the family's 1533-position model. Lineage: Bacteria; Bacillati; Bacillota; Bacilli; Lactobacillales; Streptococcaceae. The record is from RNAcentral.
GACGAACGCUGGCGGCGUGCCUAAUACAUGCAAGUAGAACGCUGAAGAGAGGAGCUUGCUCUUCUUGGAUGAGUUGCGAACGGGUGAGUAACGCGUAGGUAACCUGCCUUGUAGCGGGGGAUAACUAUUGGAAACGAUAGCUAAUACCGCAUAACAAUGGAUGACACAUGUCAUUUAUUUGAAAGGGGCAAUUGCUCCACUACAAGAUGGACCUGCGUUGUAUUAGCUAGUAGGUGAGGUAAUGGCUCACCUAGGCGACGAUACAUAGCCGACCUGAGAGGGUGAUCGGCCACACUGGGACUGAGACACGGCCCAGACUCCUACGGGAGGCAGCAGUAGGGAAUCUUCGGCAAUGGGGGCAACCCUGACCGAGCAACGCCGCGUGAGUGAAGAAGGUUUUCGGAUCGCAAAGCUCUGUUGUAAGUCAAGAACGGGUGUGAGAGUGGAAAGUUCACACUGUGACGGUAGCUUAUCAGAAAGGGACGGCUAACUACGUGCCAGCAGCCGCGGUAAUACGUAGGUCCCGAGCGUUGUCCGGAUUUAUUGGGCGUAAAGCGAGCGCAGGCGGUUUGAUAAGUCUGAAGUUAAAGGCUGUGGCUCAACCAUAGUUCGCUUUGGAAACUGUCAAACUUGAGUGCAGAAGGGGAGAGUGGAAUUCCAUGUGUAGCGGUGAAAUGCGUAGAUAUAUGGAGGAACACCGGUGGCGAAAGCGGCUCUCUGGUCUGUAACUGACGCUGAGGCUCGAAAGCGUGGGGAGCGAACAGG